Molecule: unclassified non-coding RNA, 315 nt
Filed under: uncultured fungus
Lineage: Eukaryota; Fungi
Description: partial internal transcribed spacer 1
Source: RNAcentral
CUCAACAAGCAGUGGAGAAUACUCGCCUAUGUUGGUGAUUUUUCUGAAUUUCUUUUCCAUAUCAUCAGACAUAUGUUCACCUUUUUUCCACUUGCUAAUUUGAGUGGAGGAAACCCCUAGCUUUCCAGCAAGUUCUUUUUGGCUGCAUUUAAGGAUAUCUAAGGCUAGGCGUACAAAGUGUUCACUGUUCAUUUUUCUACCUUUUUAGUAAAUAAAACCGUUAAUUAAGUGAAUUUAUUAUUGAUUUUAUUUUAGUAAAUUUCAAUUUAGUUUUACUUAAAAAUUAUGUGAGCCUAAGCUGGCAAUAAAAAAGGC